CAAACAUACAUACAUACAUACAUGCAUGCAUGCAUGCAUUCGGGAACCUCUCUAUAUCAGGAUGUCAUAAUUUUCACCUAUGAUGUUAUAAUUUUUCUUGGAGGUUAUAAUUCUGCAUUCGUAAGCAUUUUUUGUGCCAGUAUAUCAUAAUUUUGUCAUAUUAUGUCAAAGUUUUGAUCCAGCAUAUCAUACUUCUGCGUUCGAAGAACACUCUAUGUC
Molecule: long non-coding RNA, 219 nt
Filed under: Elaeis guineensis (African oil palm)
Lineage: Eukaryota; Viridiplantae; Streptophyta; Magnoliopsida; Arecales; Arecaceae
Description: long non-coding RNA (EGUI_LNC024803)
Source: RNAcentral